RNAcentral lists this ribosomal RNA (253 nucleotides) under uncultured bacterium. RNAcentral describes it as "partial 16S ribosomal RNA". It matches the Rfam family "Bacterial small subunit ribosomal RNA", at positions 524 to 776 of the family's 1533-position model. The record is from RNAcentral.
UACGAAGGGGGCUAGCGUUGUUCGGAAUUACUGGGCGUAAAGCGCACGUAGGCGGCGAUUUAAGUCAGAGGUGAAAGCCCGGGGCUCAACCCCGGAAUAGCCUUUGAGACUGGAUUGCUUGAAUCCGGGAGAGGUGAGUGGAAUUCCGAGUGUAGAGGUGAAAUUCGUAGAUAUUCGGAAGAACACCAGUGGCGAAGGCGGCUCACUGGACCGGCAUUGACGCUGAGGUGCGAAAGCGUGGGGAGCAAACAGG